GACGAACGCUGGCGGCGUGCUUAACACAUGCAAGUCGAACGGAAAGGCCCUGCUUUUGUGGGGUGCUCGAGUGGCGAACGGGUGAGUAACGCGUGAGUAACCUGCCCUUGACUUUGGGAUAACUUCAGGAAACUGGGGCUAAUACCGGAUAGGAGCUCCUGCUGCAUGGUGGGGGUUGGAAAGUUUCGGCGGUUGGGGAUGGACUCGCGGCUUAUCAGCUUGUUGGUGGGGUAGUGGCUUACCAAGGCUUUGACGGGUAGCCGGCCUGAGAGGGUGACCGGCCACAUUGGGACUGAGAUACGGCCCAGACUCCUACGGGAGGCAGCAGUGGGGAAUAUUGCACAAUGGGCGGAAGCCUGAUGCAGCAACGCCGCGUGCGGGAUGACGGCCUUCGGGUUGUAAACCGCUUUCGCCUGUGACGAAGCGUGAGUGACGGUAAUGGGUAAAGAAGCACCGGCUAACUACGUA
Molecule: ribosomal RNA, 468 nt
Filed under: uncultured bacterium
Lineage: Bacteria
Description: partial 16S ribosomal RNA
Rfam family: Bacterial small subunit ribosomal RNA
Source: RNAcentral